This 493-nucleotide ribosomal RNA is filed under the name uncultured bacterium. RNAcentral describes it as "bacterial SSU rRNA". It matches the Rfam family "Bacterial small subunit ribosomal RNA", at positions 95 to 606 of the family's 1533-position model. The record is from RNAcentral.
GUGGCGUACGGGUGAGUAACACGUGGGUGACCUGCCCUUAAGUGGGGGAUAACUCUGGGAAACUGGGGCUAAUCCCGCAUGUGCUGCGGUUUUCGUUGAUCGUAGUAAAGGAGCUUUUGUUCCGCUUGGGGAUGGGCCCGCGGCCUAUCAGCUUGUUGGUGUGGUAAUGGCGCACCAAGGCUUUGACAGGUAGCCGGCCUGAGAGGGUGUUCGGUCACAGGGGCACUGAGAUACGGGCCCCACUCCUACGGGAGGCAGCAGUUAGGAAUUUUCGACAAUGGGGGGAACCCUGAUCGAGCGACACUGCGUGAGGGAUGAAGGCCUUAGGGUUGUAAACUUCUAAUAGAGGGACGAUGGUGACGGUACCUCUUGAUUAGCACCGGCUAACUCCGUGCCAGCAGCCGCGGUAAUACGGAGGGUGCGAGCGUUAUCCGGAAUCACUGGGCGUAAAGGGCACGUAGGCGGUUUGUUAAGUCUGAUGUUAAAGACUGGG